CCCUUGUCAAAACAACACCGACCGCACUGAUCUGCGAAAAGCUGGGAACGGCGUUGCUAUAUCCACAAACGUUAGUCACUUCUGCCUCUCCUUCUUCGUUACCUCCGCAUUAGAAAAGAAUCCUUGCUCUUCACUGGUUAAUCCUCUGUUCCAGGUGCAUAUUUUGUUGACCGUUUUAUACUCAAUUCCCAAUCAUUCUUGUUCCUCUUUUCGCUUCUUUCUGUACUACAUGUCCAAGAUUUUUUAACUGUGAAUCUGAAUUUGUCCCACUGAAAUGUUUUUGAUCCUCAAAUCGACCCCUAGGUGCUUCUAUUCAUGGCAUUUAGGUGGAAGCUACUGGAAAAAAGGCUAACUUUUGAACUCAGAAGCCAAUGUAAUGGAAACCCAAUAUGCUGUAAUAGGGCUGGUACAUUUUUUUCCUCAUGGUCAUCAGAAAACCCUAACCCUAGUUCUCAUAUUGACCCUUGUUUAUGCGCCGGAUGCGUGGAUACAGAACAAAUUGAUGAGAAUGAACAUGGGUACGCAAGAGUUGAAGAAAUGGAUCUCAAAAAAUUUGGGCUUUUGAGUUCUUGUGGUAAUACUAGUGAUGAGCAUAGAAAAACUUGUAAUUUCGGUGACGCAGAUGAGGAUAAGGAGUCUGAAGAAGGGGAGGGUGAGAGUGACAAUGAUCAUGAUAUUGGGGUUUUGAAUAUGGCCAGCACGAACAAGCCCCAAAGGCAAACUUUUAGGAUUGUUGGUGGGGAUGAAGAUGAAUCAAGACACCCUCUUGUGAAAGAAGUUUGUAGGUUGAUUAGUCUUCGGUCAUCGUGGAAUCCGAAGCUUGAAAACGAGUUGAGGCACCUGCUAAGAAGCCUCAAACCUCGACAUGUUUGUGCUGUUUUGCGCGUUCAGAACGAUGAACGGAAUGCUUUGAAAUUUUUCUAUUGGGCUGACCGACAAUGGCGAUACCGACAUGACCUUAUCGUGUACUAUGCAAUGCUUGAGGUCCUCAGUAAGACCAAGUUGUAUGAUGGUGCUCAAAGGGUCCUUCGUCUGAUGUUGAGAAGGGGAAUUGAGCUUCAGCCACAAGCUUUCGUUUAUGUGAUGAUAUCUCAUAGUCGAGCUGGUAAUAUGGUGAAAGCAAUGCAAGUUUUAUUUCUGAUGCAAAAGGCAGGAGUUGAACCUGAUUUGUCAAUAUGCAACGCUGCCAUUUAUGUUUUAGUGAAGGGGAACAGGUUGGAGAAAGCAUUGCGGUUUUUGAAUAGGAUGCGAGUUAUUGGGAUUGAACGUAGUGUUGUAACUUUCAAUUGCUUGAUCAAGGGAUAUUGUGAUUUGCAUCGGAUUGACGAUGCGGUGAGUCUAAUCGAUGAAAUGCCAUUUGAAGGUUGUUCACCAGAUAAAGUUAGUUACUACACAGUGAUGGGUUUUCUAUGCAAGGAGAAGAGGAUCAAAGAAGUGAGGGAGCUGAUGGGGAAGAUGUUGAAGGAUGGCAAACUAUUACCGGACCAGGUUACUUACAAUACCCUUAUCCAUAUGUUAACCAAACAUGGUCAUAGCGACGACGCCGUAGUAUUUUUAAAGGAAGCAGAAGAGAGAGGAUUCUUGGUGGAUAAGGUUGGGUAUAGUGCGAUAAUUAACUCGUUUUGUCAAGAGGGAAGAAUAGAUAGGGCGAAAGAACUUUUAGGGGAAAUGAUCACGAAGGGAUGCAGUCCUGAUGUAGUGACUUACAGUGCAGUUGUCCAUGGGUUUUGUCGCGUAGGAGAGGUGGAUGAAGCCAAAAAGUUGAUGCAGGUGAUGAACAGACAAGGUUGCAAACCAAACACUAUCUCAUAUACGGCCUUGUUAAAUGGGCUUUGCAGAAGUGGGAAAUCAUCAGAGGCAAGGGAAAUGAUGAACUUGAGUGAGGAAGAAUGGUGGACCCCAAAUUGCAUUACAUAUAGUGUUGUGAUGCAUGGGCUCCGUAGGGAAGGGAAAUUAUCUGAGGCUUGUGAUGUGGUCAAGGAAAUGAUCAGAAAGGGGUUUCAACCGACCGCAGUUGAAAUCAACUUAGUGAUUCAGUCUCUUUGUCGAGAGAGUAGAGUUAAUGAUGCUAAGAAUUUUAUGGAGGAGUGUUUGCACAAGGGAUGUGCAGUUAAUGCGGUAAACUUUAGCACUGUAAUUCAUGGAUUUUGUCAGAGAGGUGAUGUGGAUGCUGCGCUCUCGUUGCUUGAUGACAUGUAUUUGAGUGACAGAUGCCCUGACACCGUCACUUAUACAACAAUUAUUAAUGCAUUAGCAAAGAAAGGCAGAAUAGAAGACGCAAUUGAACUGACCAAGAAAAUGCUCCACAAGGGUUUGGUUCCUAGUCCUAUUACAUACCGUUCAAUCAUCUGUAGAUUUUGUGAACAAAGUAGGGUGGAAGAUUUGUUGAAAUUAUUGGAGAAGAUGCUUUCUAGAAAAGAUUGCAGAACAGUGUAUAAUCAGGUUAUAGAAAAGCUUUGUAGUCUUGGAAACCUUGACGAGGCAUAUAAACUCUUGGGAAAGGUUUUGAGGACAGCUUCAAGAUUUGAUGCCAGUACAUGCCACAUGCUUAUGGAGAGUUAUAUGAGUAAAGGUAUUCCUCUGUUGUCAUAUAAGGUGGGGUGUCGGAUGUUUGAUCGGAAUCUGAUCCCUGAUUUGAAGUUAUGUGAGAAAGUGUGCAAGAGAUUGAUGCUAGAGGGGAAAUCAGAUGAAGCAAAUAAGCUUAUGCUACGGUUCGUGGAACGUGGAUGCAUUUCACCCCAGCACCAGAGCAAAAUUUGCUGACCUGGGCUGCAAUUUUCUUAAUUGCAUUAUAAGAGUUAUAUGUUUGUUUUCCUUCUUGAGCUUCAAUUGUGGCAAGGUGUACUAGAUACUAAUACUGGAGAUGAAACCAAAGAGUUAUGCUAUUUUUGUAGAACUUGGAUGCAUUUCACCUCAAAUCAUUCUUUGAGAGCUGUAGAGGGUUUUCAUAGUUGUAAAUUGUAAUAUGCUGAGAGCGAAGAUUUCACUUAUCUAUAUAGUUCCGCCCUCUUCUGUUAUUGUAUGCUAUCGAGCUUAAAUCAUAAUCUGCCCAUCUUGUUUGAGUGAUGUUACUUUUACAAUUUAUGUUAGAUUAGCCCUAUUCGUUUUUUAAUCAGAAGAAAAUCAUAUUGCAACGCCCUGGGGAAUGAUCACAAUGGUGAAUGGUAGUUUGAUAUCCAAUACGAAUAAACGAUCUUUUAGAGCUGUGAUUUUGUUUUCUAUUUCAGGAAUCAUUGUUAAAUCUGCACUGAUACUAUGGAAGACUUUAAUAUGUAUCACUGGCAACGCAUAUCCAACUGUUCUAUCUGGGAGCAUGGAACCUGGGUUCCUGAAGGGUAGCUAAAGAUCGUCUUAUAUGUGCUGGGGAAAUAGUUGUGCUUCAUGUCGAAGCACUCCCUCAGACAUGUUUAACAUUCUACGUGCCCAAAGCAUUGCAAAUUCACUUGGUUACCACAGUUGAUGCAGAUCGCUGCCACGAAGAUGGUGAGAUGCAUUAUAAGAGGGAAGAUUGUGGAACAUGACGAGGGGGUUGAGGUCGAAAGAAGGAACUUGAGAAAUUAGCGAACGGUCCCUUUGUAUACUACAAAUAUUGUGUUGUUUAACUUGUAUUUACGGCAUGAAGGAACCCUUAUAUUGAUUCAAUGCGGAUGUGUGUUCAUGUACAUUUAAGUAUUGGAGUAUUAAUAAAAAAGAGAAACCCUGUAGUAUUA
Rhododendron vialii is the source of this 3710-nucleotide RNA transcript. It is a transcript of the gene named pentatricopeptide repeat-containing protein At1g09900, with no coding region annotated. The record is from RefSeq and is a predicted model, not a curated record. The transcript has 4 exons. Lineage: Eukaryota; Viridiplantae; Streptophyta; Magnoliopsida; Ericales; Ericaceae.